UACGUAGGGUGCAAGCGUUGUCCGGAAUUAUUGGGCGUAAAGAGCUCGUAGGCGGUUUGUCGCGUCUGCUGUGAAAACUCGGGGCUUAACCCCGGGCCUGCAGUGGGUACGGGCAGACUAGAGUGCGGUAGGGGAGACUGGAAUUCCUGGUGUAGCGGUGAAAUGCGCAGAUAUCAGGAGGAACACCGGUGGCGAAGGCGGGUCUCUGGGCAGUUUCUGACACUGAGGCGCGACAGCGUGGGGAGCAAACAGG
Molecule: ribosomal RNA, 253 nt
Filed under: uncultured bacterium
Lineage: Bacteria
Description: partial 16S ribosomal RNA
Rfam family: Bacterial small subunit ribosomal RNA
Source: RNAcentral